RNAcentral lists this ribosomal RNA (308 nucleotides) under Escherichia coli. RNAcentral's name for it is "partial 23S ribosomal RNA". It matches the Rfam family "Bacterial large subunit ribosomal RNA", at positions 612 to 922 of the family's 2925-position model. Lineage: Bacteria; Pseudomonadati; Pseudomonadota; Gammaproteobacteria; Enterobacterales; Enterobacteriaceae. The record is from RNAcentral.
AUAAUGGGUCAGCGACUUAUAUUCUGUAGCAAGGUUAACCGAAUAGGGGAGCCGAAGGGAAACCGAGUCUUAACUGGGCGUUAAGUUGCAGGGUAUAGACCCGAAACCCGGUGAUCUAGCCAUGGGCAGGUUGAAGGUUGGGUAACACUAACUGGAGGACCGAACCGACUAAUGUUGAAAAAUUAGCGGAUGACUUGUGGCUGGGGGUGAAAGGCCAAUCAAACCGGGAGAUAGCUGGUUCUCCCCGAAAGCUAUUUAGGUAGCGCCUCGUGAAUUCAUCUCCGGGGGUAGAGCACUGUUUCGGCAAG